GGGGUAAUGGGUUCAAACUGGAACACAAGAGGUUCCACUUUAAUCUGAGAAGAAACUUCUUCAUGGUGAGGGUGGCAGAGCCUGGCCCAGGCUGCCCAGGGGGGUUGUGGAGUCUCCUUCUGUGCAGACAUUCCAACCCGCCUGGACACCUUCCUGUGUAACCUCAUCUGGGUGUUCCUGCUCCAUGGGGGGAUUGCACUGGAUGAGCUUUCCAGGUCCCUUCCAAUCCCUGAUGUUCUGGGAUUCUGUGAUGCUGUAACAUUUGCAGUUGACUAGUCCCCUUUUCACCAGUACGUGCCACUGACAGCAAAUCCCAUGGGUAGGUUUGCAGUGGUAGUUACACCUGACCAAUACUGUGCGUGAAGAAUAUCGCGUAUUGAAUUAAUCUAGGACAAAGGAUAAAAGCCCAAAGAAAAGAAUUAUUUAAAAAUCUGUUCGCUAAUUGUUUAAAAUUAAGUGGUACUCAUCUUGAGUCAAAUGAUACCUCUUGUUUAAGUCUUUCCCUCAAAAUUCUCGUGGAAAAGUCCUCAAAAUCCUUUCAGUUACAAGCCUGUUUGAAUUCUCAUACAGACACUUGACAUUCUUGGUGCAACAGCAGAGAUGUGACAAUAAGCUGUAAAUGCUUUUUUGGCCUUGCAGACUCCUCAGAGCCCCUGGAAGCUGGUCCAUGCUCCAGAAAAUGUCCUCAGGGCAAGAAACUUGCUUCCUAAACCUUAAAUUAUUAAAAGCCUCAAACAGAAAAACCAUGUGCCCAGCAACUCUGUUAGACCAGCAGCACCGGAAAAAUGACAAGGGCUCCAAGCUCUUCUCCUGUCCCACUUGCUGGGCUCUAUUAAACGCUCAUACUUUGCUGUUGUGUCUGUAACAUCUCUUUUUAUUUCCUUUUUUAAAUUUUGUUGGAUGAGGAUUUGAUCCCAAAAGUGCCUGAGUGCUUACAGGUGAGUUGUUUCUUAUUGAACAUCUCAGCAGAGACCGAUGGCAGCUUCAGGGAGAUCUUAACGCCGGUUAUGAAUGUUGGGAGGGUUUGCCCAAGAGCGAAUGCAUCUUGAUGACUGAAGUCAAAGACUAGAAAGCGUUCCUGGUUUAACCCUGCAGAGCAGGUAAGCAGAGGUUUUCAAAUCCAGGUAAGGUGAGCACUGUUUUGGAGGCCUAAAUUUAGCAGUGAUUAAAUGAGCUCUUAAUUAACCAAAUAUUCCCCCUGCUUGCCUUUCAGUAUUAUUCAAUAACUGAACAAUUACAAUGAGCUCAGCAAGUAAUUACUCCCCAUUCCAGGUACUGCCCUCACCAACUGCAGCCUUUGAAACCACCAGCUGUUAAUGUGCCAGAAAAUGAAGCCCAUGAAGUGUGAGUCAAAUAAUUGAAAACUGAGCAGGAAAAAGCCCCACAGGUUCAGAGGCAACUAAGGAAAAGUGCUCCCCCAUGCUGAGUCCUUCGGUGUGUAGUCUCUUCCAGACUGAAGAUCUAUCACAAAGAUUAUUAGUGUGGGUUGAAGCUGCAGGACUAUGUUUUCAUGGGUGCUCUGGCAAAGGUAUAAAGGUUCCUGAUGGUUUUUCUGGUGGUUAUUCUGCUUCACAAGGCUCUAGAAAGCCUCCCUGGGGGUUAAUAUGCAUCCCUAGAGGGGGCGGCCACUGCCUUACCGACCAGAAAAAACAGAAGGUAAAGCCUGAAUCAUCCAAGAACACAAGUCUUAAAGAUGAUUCUAGUUGCAGCAGGGUAAAGGUUGUUGGGUUGUGAGUUCAGCCAUUUACUGGUCUGAGCGAUAUUUUAAUCUCAAGCGCAUUGAAGCUUUUAACUCAUGAUUUUCAAAACAGAUUUGACGAUGUCAUUUCACAAGCACUUAUUUUCAUGGCCCAUCAGUUGUAUUGGUUUAGCUGCCUGGGGUAGACAGUGAAUCAGAUUGGGACAAGAAAUAAUUAUUUUUGGCUUGAUUGGAAAAAAAAAAAGGCCCUAUAAAGUAAAAUGACUUAAUCCUUUAAAGCCACAAGGCUGCAAAACCAGAUUUACCAGCCUAAAUGAGGGGACGGAGGAGGCUGAAGGUGGAGCAACAGUUAAAGAAAAGCUUGUUAAAUUAUACCACUAGCUAUGCAGAUGUAACUUCUAUUUAGUUGAAGGAUUUGAUUAUAGCAAUCGCACUUGCAGAAACAUGCCUGCUUUCUGAUUAGGUUGUGGAAAUCAAUAGAGACUUCUGCCCUCUCUGCAGGCAACAUGAAACAACACAUUUGAAAUUCAAGAGGUAUGCAAUUUCCCCAAAGCCUCCAAAUUAUUGCUGGGCUGCUCCAGGGUCUGGUGGGUGUUUUAGCUGUGGGGCAGCGAGGGGGGAGACAGAGGCCCUGGGAGAGGCCACGUCUUGUGGCUGAGAGGGAAACGUUACACAAAGGACGGAAAAGAAAAACCUAAGAUGAAAAUAGGAGUGCCCAAGACAGCAACGUGCUAAAAACAAGCGCAUAUUUCUGCUGCACAGAUAAGCUACACAGUCACAUUUGUUCCAUGAUCUUUCUAGAAAAGCUUCGAUGUGGGCAGGAGAUUCUGUCUAUGGGGAACGAUGGGAAUGCAGGGUCGGGAGGCAGGUCCUGAGUCUGUGAUUAUACAGAGACCUUCCAAGCCCAAAACACCCACCUCAGAGCUCUGCAAGAUAAACUGAAGAAUGUGAUAGAAACAAAAAUGCCUAUUAAGAUGCCACUUUGAUGCUUUUUUUUGAGGUCUAAGCUAAGGUGCUUGUGCCAGCAAGCUUCUCCAUUUCUGUCUGUGCCCUGACACUGUCAAACAGCAGGGACUUCCCCCUCUCCUGUAUCUCCUGACCCUGCACGGCCAGGGCUUGGCGCUUGGUGCGGAGUUUAGAGGCUCCUGUGCCGGGUUCCCUUCCGUGCACAGUAAAGAUGAAAAAGAAGAGAAGAGGAUUUGCAAGCAAGUCAAGCUGGGACUUGGCUGCAUCUUGAACGGGGCACGUGGCUGUCGGAUCAAGUGCUGGUUCUGCACCGAGACCCUGACGGGAGGGAAGGUUUCAAGAACCGUAAGUCUCUGUGCCCGGGCACGUGCUCCCCUUAGGGUGCCCAUCUCUCCCCUGUGCUAUUUCCACACCAGGUGUGAAGGCUUAUUAUGGGAGGCAGCACGAAGCUGAUGUAGUAUUGCCUUCCAAGGCCUCUUCUCAGCCUAAAGCAAUUUCUGUGUGCUCUCAUUAAGAUUAAUGAGUAACUCAGUAUGACACAUGAACUAUUUCACUCCUCCAUUCUGCAGGUAGAGCAGCUGUCGCAGCCCUUUACCCACACCCGAGGUCCUGCUCAUCCCGGCUUCCACGGGGCCUCUCUGGGGCUGUGAACAUGAGCACUUGUGUUGAGGGGACACAAACAGUUUCCUGAGGCCGUGAAGUUAUAGAUUUAAAGUUUUUUCUUGUGUUUUAUUGGACUAAACCCAAGACUUCUUACAGUAUUCUUCUUCUGCAUGAUGGAGAUAGAUACUGAAUACCCCGGGCACACAAUACCUAGGAAAGAAAAUAUUAACUUACGAUGGAGGGAGGUUAUUUAAGCCAGCUCUGUAAGAAACUUUUCCUCUAACACUGGGCACCAGACACUGUGGAGCUUCAUUUUCUCAUCCUACCUAAGAGAAGGUGCUGCAAAGAUAGAGGCAGCGCUUUGAAAUUUGAGAGAUGUUUGCAAUAAUAAACUCACCUUUGUAUUAAAACAAACAACCAAAUGAAAACAGCCAAGCAAAGUUACUCGGUUGUUAUUUCCUUUGCUGUUGCUGGGAAUUACUAGUGCUGUGCCUCAGGCAGGCGGAGGUUCCUCAGCAGAUUUAAUCAUUCUAAAAAAGAUGCCAACAACAAAAUGACAGGGAAGCUCUGCUGUGUUUAGCAAUUGGUGAUGAGCAUGGGGAUAAUUCUUUCUAUUCAGCCUCCUCUGCGCUAAGAUCCCGCUGCUAUAGCUGGCUGCAGCACAGACUCUGCCUUUACCUCCGCUGACCCCAGCACUCCCAGCCCGUAACAUGGGGAAGAAGAGGCUGCCAGAAGGAAGACACAUGGAGACCAUCUCCUCAUUUCCAAAACAUGAGCACACCCAAGAGAGUCAAAACUUGUCCAGUUACAGACAACAGCAACUCAGUUAAAUCAUCUGCUCUUGCAAGGUAUUUAUGAAGCGGGUCAAACCUCCUGAAUUUUGGCAGUUUAGCUGGUCCGAUGGGACAAUAAAAGGGAUGUUGUUUAUGUAAUUAAUCUUUUAAAUUGAGCUCUGAUCCCCGGGAGUACACGAGGCUCCCGAGGAGCCGUGUUUGCGAAGGUCUGUGCCGUGUUGCGCCUCCCGCGCUGCCGAGGAGCUGUUGUUCAUCACACACAGCAGCAUCUGCCGGUUGCUGGCCAGUUUGGUGUGUUAAACAGGCUCCCCUCUGCCCCAGCGACAUGCUUGGUGGGUGCCAUCGAAUUUACUGGUUCUCUCGUUAGAGCAACCUCAUACGGGUUUAUUCCGAUAAACCUGAUGGGAGGGAGGAGCAGCACUGGGAUGGGACUGGGAUGACGCACAUACUGGUUGAAAAACCCAAUGAGUGACAAAUAUCCAAUAUUCCCCCUUUCAUCCGGGUGUUCCUCCACCAACCCUUCGAUGUUUAACGCUCUGACAAUGUGGCACAGAAAGCGCGUUCCCUACACACCUUUCAUGAGGCUGAGCAGAGUAACAGACUCACUUCUGGGGACUGACGGGACAUUUCGGGAAGCGCACCCCAAAUCAAACCCUUCUGUUUGCUUAUCCCCACAUUAGGUUAAAAUGUGGAUCUUAUCUGCUCUGCAGUUUCAUCCCCUUUUUUUUGUAGGCGCGACUGCUUUUCAGCUUCUCCUUUAUUAAUAUUAAUAACUAUGUUUUUAGACUGUUUGGCUUUAUAUAUUUUAGCACUAUGUUGUUUUUUUUUUUACAGCAGAAAGUGUAUUUCCUAAUACUCUUUUUGAUAUUUAUACAGUUCUCCCAUCAUCUGCUUCCCGUACAUACCUGUUAAUGGAUAUACACUAUGCCUUGCAAUUAUUUCAUCCAUGGCAAUCAUCCAUCCCCUAGCAGCCUUGUGAUACUGCAGUGGAGUCUGCUCCAGAACAGGAAAGAAGAAUGUUGAACCCAACUUCAUCCCCAUGCACACGAGCUCUCCCCUGGUAAAGACACCCCUGAGAUGGGUAAAGACACCAUGCGUGGCGAAACCUGAGGAUGGUCCACUUUUCAAUCAUCAUUUAUUCUAUAAACGGAGGUUUUACAACUGUUUAGAUACUUACAAGCAUCUCUGGCAUCUGUGGUGAAGGUUUACUAUGAGACGCUAAGUGGGGAGAAAACAAGCAGAAUACACUGAGGCAAAAUGCUUUUGAUGAAAUGUCAUGAAUAAAUUUGUCCCUUUUAUGAUGAGUCUCACGAUAUAGGUUUCAGUUAUUUUGCUUAGAGCCUCAGGUCUUUGAGUGAUAGGAUUAUACGACAUUUUUCUUUGCAAGAUAAAUUUUCAGUUUUUCAAGCCCUGUUGAAUGUCAAGAAAUGGACCUUAAAAAAAAAAUC
This is a long non-coding RNA of Columba livia (rock pigeon), 5510 nucleotides long. RefSeq lists it as uncharacterized. Lineage: Eukaryota; Metazoa; Chordata; Aves; Columbiformes; Columbidae. The transcript is spliced from 3 exons. The record is from RefSeq and is a predicted model, not a curated record.